UACCAGAGUACUAUGAAUGUUUAAAAAUUUAAAACUCAAAGAACUUGGCGGUGUUUUAGACCACCCAGGGGAACCUGUCUCGUAAUCGAUAAUCCACGUUGUACCUGACCUCUUUUUGUUUUCAGUUUGUAUACCGUUGUCGUCAGGUAACUUUUUAGAAACUAGAAGUUAGCAAUUAAAAUGUUGGUAAUUUAAUAUGUCAAAUCAAGGUGCAGCUAAUAAAGAGGGGAGGAUGGGUUACAAUUAUAUAAUUCAUAAUGACGGAUAAGUAUAUGGAUAUGUGUUAAGUUAUAAGGAGGACUUGGAAGUAAAUUAGGGUAUAUAAAUAAUUUGAAUUAGGCUCUGAGACGUGU
Molecule: ribosomal RNA, 353 nt
Filed under: Myurella amoena
Lineage: Eukaryota; Metazoa; Mollusca; Gastropoda; Neogastropoda; Terebridae
Description: partial 12S ribosomal RNA
Source: RNAcentral